GUGUCAGCAGCCGCGGUAAGACAGAGGGUGCUAGCGUUGUUCGGAAUUACUGGGCGUAAAGGGCGCGUAGGCGGCUCGUUUAGUCGGGUGUGAAAUCCCAAGGCUCAACCUUGGAACUGCAUUCGAUACUGGCGGGCUAGAGACCGGAAGAGGUGGGUGGAAUACCCAGUGUAGAGGUGAAAUUCGUAGAUAUUGGGUGGAACACCGGUGGCGAAGGCGGCUCACUGGUCCGGUUCUGACGCUGAGGCGCGAAAGCGUGGGGAGCAAACAGGAUUAGAAACCCCGGUAGUCC
Molecule: ribosomal RNA, 292 nt
Filed under: uncultured bacterium
Lineage: Bacteria
Description: partial 16S ribosomal RNA
Rfam family: Bacterial small subunit ribosomal RNA
Source: RNAcentral